This 759-nucleotide ribosomal RNA is filed under the name uncultured Enterobacteriaceae bacterium. RNAcentral describes it as "bacterial SSU rRNA". It matches the Rfam family "Bacterial small subunit ribosomal RNA", at positions 28 to 776 of the family's 1533-position model. The record is from RNAcentral. Lineage: Bacteria; Pseudomonadati; Pseudomonadota; Gammaproteobacteria; Enterobacterales; Enterobacteriaceae.
AUUGAACGCUGGCGGCAGGCCUAACACAUGCAAGUCGAGCGGCAGCGGAAAGUAGCUUGCUACUUUGCCGGCGAGCGGCGGACGGGUGAGUAAUGUCUGGGAAACUGCCUGAUGGAGGGGGAUAACUACUGGAAACGGUAGCUAAUACCGCAUGACCUCGAAAGAGCAAAGUGGGGGACCUUCGGACCUCACGCCAUCGGAUGUGCCCAGAUGGGAUUAGCUAGUAGGUGAGGUAAUGGCUCACCUAGGCGACGAUCCCUAGCUGGUCUGAGAGGAUGACCAGCCACACUGGAACUGAGACACGGUCCAGACUCCUACGGGAGGCAGCAGUGGGGAAUAUUGCACAAUGGGCGCAAGCCUGAUGCAGCCAUGCCGCGUGUGUGAAGAAGGCCUUAGGGUUGUAAAGCACUUUCAGCGAGGAGGAAGGCAUCACACUUAAUACGUGUGGUGAUUGACGUUACUCGCAGAAGAAGCACCGGCUAACUCCGUGCCAGCAGCCGCGGUAAUACGGAGGGUGCAAGCGUUAAUCGGAAUUACUGGGCGUAAAGCGCACGCAGGCGGUUUGUUAAGUCAGAUGUGAAAUCCCCGCGCUUAACGUGGGAACUGCAUUUGAAACUGGCAAGCUAGAGUCUUGUAGAGGGGGGUAGAAUUCCAGGUGUAGCGGUGAAAUGCGUAGAGAUCUGGAGGAAUACCGGUGGCGAAGGCGGCCCCCUGGACAAAGACUGACGCUCAGGUGCGAAAGCGUGGGGAGCAAACAGG